This is a long non-coding RNA of Papaver somniferum (opium poppy), 1698 nucleotides long. RefSeq lists it as uncharacterized. The transcript has 9 exons. The record is from RefSeq and is a predicted model, not a curated record. Lineage: Eukaryota; Viridiplantae; Streptophyta; Magnoliopsida; Ranunculales; Papaveraceae.
AGUUAAUUUCUUCACUCUUCUAUCGCAAUGAAACCUACCACGAAGAGCCAGAAAUCUUCCAUGUCUCUUUUAUCUGGAAUGGAAGCUAAGAGAAAUCUUCUAUAUCUUCAUAUAUUCAUCGAUUUUUUUUAUCUUAAAUCGUUAUUCUCAUUCAGUUUACAUAAAUCUAGAUUCUCGGUGUUAAUGAAGUUCGCUGAAAUGAAAAUCCCAGGAGCAAGUUUAGUUGUCACUAACUGAUGGAGAUAAACGAAGAAGAUAUGAUUGAAUCUCUUAAUAACUAAGGCUUCAGAAAGUUUAUAAGUGUUACCGGACAUGGAGAAAUCGUGCAGAUUGUGCAGUUGUAGUGCAGGAGCUUUGGUGGGAUAUUGGACUUUUCCAAGUGGUAUCAUUUUUCAACAUUGAGAAACCAGAAAUAAUUGUUUCAUGAUGGAAACGGGUAUGGACAAAGGGUACUGCAGGUCGACGAAGUAGCUUGUUGGUUGAUUAAGAAGGUACUCAUUUUUGUUAAGGUCAUAGGAUGAUGCGGUUGAUCUUGUUGUACGAUGGACGUGGAUUGUAGCGCAAGAUCUGCUUGCUAGCAUCUCUCCUACAACACCACUCCUUGAAGCUUCUACUAGUCAAAAUAACGUUGCAUUGGAGUGUGGGAUUCUCAAUUGAUAAGAAAGUUUGUUAAUGGCAUAGAUGGAGACAGUGGCUUCACCGCUGUUUGUGGAGGAUAACAUGUCCCAGUAUGACGAUAUGGACUACAUGGGGGGUGAUUAUGAAAUGGAUGAUGUAGAAGAUGACAUGGAUGAAGAAUUCCAUGGUAGAGGUUUGGGUGAUUCCGAGUCUAAUGAGGAUGAUGGUGACCAAUUGGAAAUUGAUGCUAUUGAUGAUGCGGAUAUUUCUCCAAGAUAUGUGAAUAACACAGGUCUUUCUGCAAGAGUUGGAAGGCUUAGUUUGGACUGGGUCGAUCCUGAUCAAUCAUCUGAAUGAGGCUUUCAUCAUGCAAUGACUCUUGCUGGUGGUGAAUUUUUAGAGGGACUAGUUGAUUACUUUAUUUGUUCUGAAGAGGGAAGAAAUGUUAUAACUGGUUCAGUGGGCUAAGAUGUAAGAACUCAUUUGGAACAAAUGCAAAUGCACAGACUUUUCCCAUGAUUAGACCGAGUAACUCAUGUGAAGAUGGCAGGAGAGUUAGAGUUGCAGUUGUUUCUUGGGAUGAGCAUGCUAAAUUAUCAGGUGCAUUUGAGACACUGGCAGCAGAUAUGCUUCCUACAACUGAUGAUUUCUAUAUGCACAAGGAUGAGCCUGAUUGGGAUACACCAACGGGUGAAGUUGCUUUCUUAGGUGAUGCAAUUAAAGAUAUUCGUCAAGGAAAGAAAGUUGCACCCAUAACUCGGAACUGGAUGGUCAUUGUUGUUGAUGACGACGAUAGAGAAAAUGAAGGGGAUCUAAUAAUGGCAGAAAAGUUGGCAAACUAGUCAUUGUUGUGGUUGAUUCCAGUUGUAUGUGGUGUACAAACUGUUCUCGGGAAGAGCUUUCGGAAUAUAUAAAGUUUGCGAAUUAUGGACAAACAGUUCAAAAGAUAAAUUGUUUUUAAUUAUAUUUAUAUUAUUUAAAAUUGUUGACAUCAUCAUGAGUCACUUUGUACUAAACUAUAAAUAUUUGGACUAAAUUUUAAACUUAGAGGGUUAUAAAUGUAUUUACAAUAUUUUAAAU